Gossypium arboreum is the source of this 1000-nucleotide long non-coding RNA. RefSeq lists it as uncharacterized. Lineage: Eukaryota; Viridiplantae; Streptophyta; Magnoliopsida; Malvales; Malvaceae. The transcript is spliced from 2 exons. The record is from RefSeq and is a predicted model, not a curated record.
GUAUAGAUGGAAAAAAAAAACGGUGGUUAGGUUUGCAUUCACAAAUUUAGUGUAGCUGAAACUGAAAAUGUAGCAAUUGGGAUUUUACUUAUCCUAGUGUGACAGUGUAUGGAGAUUGAUGGUAACCCUUUGUUAUUGCAGAAAAUGGGGUCCGGUGGCAAAUAUUAAAGGAGGCUGGUUUUGUUGCUCCCAACUCAGAAUGGCAGACCCAUUUACGCCACGCAAUAUACGAGAGAGUUCCUCUCCUACUACUCAGUGCAAUCUGCAUUCUUGUAAAGUUGGUUUCCAGUUGCAGGGACAUGUGGGGGUUAAACAAUUAGACGUAAGUUGGAAUCGCGGGUAUCCAUCACGAAACUGAUUGCUUUGUCAACUAUCUUAAGAGGCCAUACAUCUGAUCCCACCCUUAUUUGAUGUGAUCCAUCAUCAUCUGUUGAACCAAGGAAACACGACUUUUCGAGAAAGAAACAAGCAUCAAGUUGAGAAAGUAGCUCCUACAUCUUUUUGUAAAGUCAGGUUGUAUCCCCCCAUUUUUAGAAUCGAAUUUUAGGUUUGUGUCUAACUCAGAAAUAGUGGAAGGCUCCACCAUUUCUAUCAUUCUGAUGUCUACUAUCCAACUGUGUGUGUAACUAAACACCAUAAAUAACCAAAUUGAAUUUUAAGGGUAGACUUAGAAAUAAAAUAUAUUUAUUUAUUUUUAUACCAUCAGAAAUUAAACACUAGCUAAAAUUAAAUUAAAAUAAAAUUCGGUUCGGUUCGGCUCUUUUCUGUUCUGUUUUAAUAAUAUUUGUGGUUUUUUUUUUUUUUUAAAGUUAUGAACCGAGAACCGAAUGAAUACAUUACAUUGAUAUUAUUAAUCUAAUCAAAAACCGAAGCGAAGGCUAAAUUCGAAUCGGAUUUCUGCUAAUUUUAGGCAUUUUUCUCAGCCCUUGUAGAUAUCACACAUCAGCAAACACAUGGUAUUCUUUGGAAUCAACAGCUAUGAGCCUCAAAGAUGCAAUCG